This 212-nucleotide ribosomal RNA is filed under the name Panthera onca (jaguar). RNAcentral's name for it is "partial 12S ribosomal RNA". It matches the Rfam family "Bacterial small subunit ribosomal RNA", at positions 766 to 1010 of the family's 1533-position model. The record is from RNAcentral. Lineage: Eukaryota; Metazoa; Chordata; Mammalia; Carnivora; Felidae.
CCCAAACUGGGAUUAGAUACCCCACUAUGCUUAGCCCUAAACCUAGAUAGUUAGCUCAAACAAAACUAUCCGCCAGAGAACUACUAGCAACAGCUUAAAACUCAAAGGACUUGGCGGUGCUUUAUAUCCCUCUAGAGGAGCCUGUUCUAUAAUCGAUAAACCCCGAUAAACCUCACCAUCUCUUGCUAAUUCAGCCUAUAUACCGCCAUCUU